RNAcentral lists this unclassified non-coding RNA (2261 nucleotides) under Hevea brasiliensis (rubber tree). Lineage: Eukaryota; Viridiplantae; Streptophyta; Magnoliopsida; Malpighiales; Euphorbiaceae. The record is from RNAcentral.
CUUCUUCUUCUUCUCUCUCUCUCUUUGUAGCUCUCGCUCUUUACUGCAAUCCAAACUGAAUCCAGAUUGUUAAAUUAUCCACUGCUAGUGGUGUACAGUAAUUUGAGUUUCAGGUUUCAACUUGGUAAAGUAUUGGGACAAGAGUAACACCUGUUCUGUUAUGUGCAUUUGCGAAGUGACAUCAAGUUGGUAAUCUCUUUCUGAGAUUCUAUGCUUCUGUCAUUUCCAGUUGUGUUGGUGGACUUAGAUGGAUGUUUCCUCAACAAAGCGGGACUCUGAAAGUAAAACUGAAACCUUCCCAUUGUUAAUGGAGAGACCUGAGAGUCUUAACAGUAGUGAGCACAUUAUUGACAUACCAAGAAGCAGUGUUGCCUCCCCAUCAACAUCUCAUGAUAGAACUUCUAGUGGUUUGGAAGCCUCGCCUCUUGAAAACAGAUCUUCAACCAGUGUGAGAACACCCAUUUCUCAACCUUCAACAUUUUCAUCUAACGGACCAAACACCCAGAACUCAUCCUUUGUAAGGAGAGGUGAAGCUCGUCGACGCAGGAGCCCGUUGAACUCUGGUUUAUGGAUUUCUGUUGAAUUGGUACUCACUAUUAGCCAGAUUGUUGCAUCGAUUGUUGUUUUGUCUGUGUCAAGGAAUGAGCAUCCACGAGCUCCAUUGUUUGAAUGGAUUGUUGGUUAUGCAUCUGGAUGUGUUGCAACCCUUCCUCUUCUUUAUUGGCGUUACCGACAACGCAGCCAGGUUUUGGGGCAAGAUUCAGCUCAACCUCGUCAAGGUUCUACGCAUAUUAGUGUUCCAGCAGGACCCUAUUCUGUAUCAGUCAGCAGAAAUUCAGAAGCAGAUGAUCACCGAACUGCUGUUACGUCACCUAGAGGUGGUCAAAAUGUUGGAGCAGUAAAUGCAAGACUCAAGACUCUGGUUGAAUACUUCAAAAUGGCUCUUGAUUGUUUUUUCGCAGUUUGGUUUGUGGUUGGCAAUGUGUGGAUAUUUGGAGGGCAUUCCUCUGCUAGUGAGGCUCCAAACAUGUAUAGGUUAUGUAUAGUGUUUCUUACCUUUAGCUGUAUUGGAUAUGCUAUGCCCUUCAUUUUGUGUGCAACGAUCUGCUGCUGCUUGCCUUGUAUAAUUUCUCUUCUUGGGUUUAGAGAGGAUCUGGGGCAAACCAGAGGAGCCACAGCGGAAUCAAUUGAUGCCUUACCAACAUACAAGUUUAAGGAGAAUCAAAAUAGAAAUUGUGAUGAUGGAGAUAGCAACUGGGGUGCUGGUGAUGGUGGAAUUGUGGCUGCGGGAACAGAACAGGAGCGUGUGAUCUCUGGGGAAGAUGCGGUUUGCUGCAUUUGUUUGGCAAAAUAUGCAAACAAUGAUGAGCUGAGGGAGUUACCCUGUUCGCAUUUUUUCCACAGGGAGUGUGUGGAUAAGUGGCUGAAGAUCAAUGCUUCCUGUCCUCUUUGCAAGAGUGAGGUCUGUGAAAGUUUUAUGGGUUCACUCUCUGGAUCAAAUUCUGGUCAGCAACGGGUUGAGGGUAGGGUGGGCAAUGGCUUGGCCAGUACCAUGUUUUGAUCUUCAUCAUGGAAAAAGGGAGCCAGUUUCAAUUGGAUACUUUUCAGUGGAGGUGAUACCUAUCUCAGGUUCUCCACUAAAGAAAGUGCCUUGCAAGUAACUGUUUAAAUGGGUAAGAGAAAAGAUGGGAAUGCUUCCUACUUCCUGGAGAAAUGGAGAUAAAUUCAGUGACCUUUCCUCUUUUGAUGCUUUGGAAUUGGGAGAGUGGAUGCCAAGUUGUCUGUUUGUGGUAGUUUUGCACGCAAGUUGAGAUGGUUCUCUGGAAAGGACAUCCAUUUUUGAAGACCUGUUUGUGGUUGAUUGAUAGUUUGUCUUUUGAGUUUGGAGUUAUUGUAACUCUGUGGGGGUUCUCUUUAUGGUUGAGGCGGUAAGCAUCUCUAGGGUCACAAAGCAUGUUCAGCUAUUGAAUGAUCAACCCUGCAGACUAAAAGAGAGACUUUAAUUAGCGAGUGGGCUUUGCUCGAUGCCAUCCUCUCGAAGCCUAGAUCUUUGGCUUGCUUGUUGAUCUCGAGGUUAUAUUACCAACAGGGAUGCUGGGCUUUAGUAGGCGUUUGCUUGAUGCUUCGUUAGUUCAGACUAAGCUCUUGUUACAGACAUCCGCAUCUUUUUUUUCCUUCUUGUCGAUCCAAUUCUGAUUCAAAGAGGGCAACAGCGUGGAGGAAGACUUGCAUCUUCUCCUUAGGAAUUUUUAAGGUUUCUA